GGAACGAAUGGUGAUCGUGGGAA
This 23-nucleotide non-coding RNA is filed under the name Arabidopsis thaliana (thale cress). Lineage: Eukaryota; Viridiplantae; Streptophyta; Magnoliopsida; Brassicales; Brassicaceae. The record is from RNAcentral.